GUCCUUAGUUACCAGCACGUUAUGUGGGCACUCUAAGGAGACUGCCGGUGACAAACCGGAGGAAGUGGGGAUGACGUCAAGUCAUCAUGGCCCUUACGGCCUGGGCUACACACGUGCUACAAUGGUCGGUACAAAGGGUUGCCAAGCCGCGAGGUGGAGCUAAUCCCAUAAAACCGAUCGUAGUCCGGAUCGCAGUCUGCAACUCGACUGCGUGAAGUCGGAAUCGCUAGUAAUCGUGAAUCAGAAUGUCACGGUGAAUACGUUCCCGGGCCUU
Molecule: ribosomal RNA, 274 nt
Filed under: uncultured Pseudomonas sp.
Lineage: Bacteria; Pseudomonadati; Pseudomonadota; Gammaproteobacteria; Pseudomonadales; Pseudomonadaceae
Description: partial 16S ribosomal RNA
Rfam family: Bacterial small subunit ribosomal RNA
Source: RNAcentral